Molecule: ribosomal RNA, 253 nt
Filed under: uncultured bacterium
Lineage: Bacteria
Description: partial 16S ribosomal RNA
Rfam family: Bacterial small subunit ribosomal RNA
Source: RNAcentral
UACGUAGGGCGCAAGCGUUGUCCGGAAUCACUGGGCGUAAAGCGCACGUAGGCGGACUCUUAAGUCAGGGGUGAAAUCCUGGAGCUCAACUCCAGAACUGCCUUUGAUACUGGGAGCCUUGAGUUCGGGAGAGGUGAGUGGAACUGCGAGUGUAGAGGUGAAAUUCGUAGAUAUUCGCAAGAACACCAGUGGCGAAGGCGGCUCACUGGCCCGAUACUGACGCUGAGGUGCGAAAGCGUGGGGAGCAAACAGG